This 492-nucleotide ribosomal RNA is filed under the name uncultured bacterium. Its description in RNAcentral is "partial 16S ribosomal RNA". It matches the Rfam family "Bacterial small subunit ribosomal RNA", at positions 29 to 507 of the family's 1533-position model. The record is from RNAcentral.
AGUGAACGCUGGCGGUAGGCCUAACACAUGCAAGUCGAACGGCAGCACAGUAAGAGCUUGCUCUUACGGGUGGCGAGUGGCGGACGGGUGAGGAAUACAUCGGAAUCUACUUUUUCGUGGGGGAUAACGUAGGGAAACUUACGCUAAUACCGCAUACGACCUACGGGUGAAAGCAGGGGAUCUUCGGACCUUGCGCGACUGAAUGAGCCGAUGUCGGAUUAGCUAGUUGGCGGGGUAAAGGCCCACCAAGGCGACGAUCCGUAGCUGGUCUGAGAGGAUGAUCAGCCACACGGGAACUGAGACACGGUCCAGACUCCUACGGGAGGCAGCAGUGGGGAAUAUUGGACAAUGGGCGCAAGCCUGAUCCAGCCAUACCGCGUGGGUGAAGAAGGCCUUCGGGUUGUAAAGCCCUUUUGUUGGGAAAGAAAAGCAGCAGGUUAAUACCCCGCUGUUCUGACGGUACCCAAAGAAUAAGCACCGGCUAACUUCGUG